AAGUUGCUUUGCUUGGGAAAAGGCUUUGGAUCCAGAAUAAUCAUAUUAUGGGGAAACUUCAAAGGUAUCAAGUUUUCAUCUUGUCUUGUGUAUGUUUAGAUAUCUUCAUAGCUAGUUUGUUGUGCUUUUUGUCCCUUUUUGGGUUAAUGGAUGAGCUAGGUCAUCUAAGGUCUUGUUCUUUCAGAUCUGAGUUUGUUUUCGUAUCCUUGAGUAUAAAGGUGCAAGCUUUAUGAGAGUUUUGGUGUCAUGCCUGCAUUAAGUCAAUUAUUAAGUCUUUUUUAAUCUUAAGAGCUUCAUUAAAUGUGGUUUUCCAGCUCAAGGAAUUCAGAUCUAUGUUUUGGGGCUAUAUCUGUAUGGAUUAACUGCUUGUUGGUUAAGAUCUUGAAUCAUUAAGCUUUAUGGAUUUGGUUUGAACCUUUUUGGAUAGUACCAAUGGAUAAAGUUGGAAAAUUGAGCCUUCUGGACCAUGUUAUGGACUAGAUCUGAGCUUUGGAGCUAUUGGAAUCGGAGAAAAUAACUUAUUGUAGUAUGUUCUUGAAGGCACAAAUGUCGGCUCGUUGUUGAAGGCACGAGGAUUCUUGUGGGCCAGCAGCCAGAGAUUCUUUUUGUGAGAUUCAGCAGUACGAGGUGAGUCUCCUCAAUAUGUUUAGCAGGUCGAAGGCACAAAUGUCAGCUCAUUGUUUAUUAUGUUAGGAUGAUAGAUUUUUGUGUGACUCUUGCAUGUGUAUGUAUUGGUAUGUAUGCCGAGCGAGGCUCGAUGUCGGGCAGAACCUGACGGUUGUAUUGUAUGUUGUUAUCUUUGUGAUUAUUACAUGUGUUGGUAGGAUUAUGUGUUUGUAUGUUGGGUGGGGCCCGUUAUGUGAGUGUGGGCGGGGCCCGUAUCUCAGUGGGUGGGGCCUGAUAUGUAAGUGUGGGCGGGGUUUGUAUCUCAGUGGGCAGGGCCCGAUAUGCGAGUGUGGGCGGCGCCUGAUAUGCGACUGUGGGCGGGGCCCGUUUUAUGAAUAGUUAUGUAUGGUAUGAGGUAUCUUGGGGAACUCACUAAGCUUUGUGCUUACGGUUUUCAGUUUUUGUUUCAGGUACUUCGGUUUUCAAGUGGAAGAGCUCGGGAUGAUUGUAGAUCACACACCACAUGUUUUCGCAUUCUAUGAAUUACUCUAAUUUGAUGAUGUUUUGCUGAAUCUUGAUUACCUUGGUUUUAGGGAAUGUUAUGUAUUAAUAAUUUAUUAAUCUAUAAACAAAAAUUUUAUGUUACUACUUUUGGGAUGUUUCAAGUUGGUAUUAGAGCCUUGGUUUGAGGGAUUUGGACAUACUCUCAGAUGUGUAUGAACUCAACCUGAGGAUUUGGUGAAGUUUAAAAAAAAGGAAUGAAAAAAAUGAUUUAAAAAUAGAAAAGCAAGCUUCUAAUACAAGAAAUAGUAUGGUGCAUGCAAUCGACCGAGCUCAAGUAUUUUUCUCCUAAAAUACCCAUACAUGUUAUCUGGUAUGAUUUGAUUUAUGAAUCUGUGAAUCGCAUGCUAGUUAGGGCUAAGGAUCUGCUUAGUUUUUGCAUGAUAAAAUGCUAGGAGAGAUGCCUUGUAUGACUAUUGUAUGUGCUUGUAGACUUUCAUGCUAGAUCUUAUUAGCCAGUGAUAGAUUGGCCUGAUAUAUGAUGCCUGGUAGCCUAGGGAGCAUGGGAUAUUGGAUUAGGUGUGAUUGUAUGUGUAAGGCAAUCAGUAAUGGGAGUGGGAGCUCCUAGUAUGAGUUUUAGUAUGUGGGAUUGGAUGAUCGUGAUUAUUCUAUGGAUUGGAAUGUUACUGCACGAAUUCUGUUUGAUUUGUUCUUUAUGGAACUCAUAAGUGAUGUGAGUUAGCUGUUAAGUGAAUAUGUCAAGUCACAUGUGGCAAAGGUUGGAUAAUCUCAUAAUGAUAGAUUUUACCAUGUUGUGUAGCUCUCGUCUGAGUCUAACCGUUGUAGGGAUGACUCUGUUACUCGAAAGAUUAUCUAAGCUUUGGUGCAUGUGACUGUGUUCAUGAGGUAGCUAACUGACAUUAUGAGGAGUUCUUCAGCAGCUAAUGGCAGGGUGAGGUUGGGAACCUAAGAAAACCUAGAAGGGGCUUCGCUGGGUUUAGUUGCGUUGUUUAGCGAUCAUGUGGAGUAUCAGUUUGAGAAUGUGACUUAAGGGAUUCUGGAGGAUUCUUGAGGAAAGUAUGGAUAGGUAUGGAAGGUAGUAUUGGGCCCGUACUACUGAAAGCACAGGAUCCAUACUCGAAUCGGGGAGACUCUUGGAAAAUCUAGGAAGCCUAUGGGAUCAGGAUUCUUGGGCAUAUUUGAAUCUUUUGCAUGUUGUUUUUGGUAUGGUAUUGACCACUUAGGAAUGGGGUUCGGGUUCUGGUUCUGGCUCAGGAGCAGGUACUGAGCCGAUCGAUGCGUGGACGUCGGAGUUCGUCACAUCAAAGAUUACUCAGGGUAUUUUGGAAUGGACCUCAGUGAUCUUUGGUUCAUUCAAGGAAGGAAGGAAGGGAUUUUGGAACUCUUGGAUGGUCGUCCUGGGGCCUUUCAGGCCAAGUUUGUAGCACCAUAGUUGGGGGAUCAUAUGGAGCCCAAAGCUUGCAGAUCCUUAGAAUCCUUCAAGAAUGAGGAUCCUAUUGUUAAGUUUAUGUCUUUUGGGAUCGGAGGGGAGUUUUGCACCAUGUCCUCAGGAUGGUCGGGGUAAUUUAGGAGGAGGAAGUCAGAAUUCCAUUAAAUGCUUUUGCGGGUAUGAUAUCUUCCAUUUUCUUCUAGGUUGUUAUCAAGGAUUUGUAUUGCGUUGGGAUUUUGCUUGGGUUUGGGGAAGUUAUAUCUCGGGUUGGUUCUUUGAUAUUUUCUAGGUUAUUAAGGAUUGUAAUAUGUCGAUCUGCAUGUCGAGAGUCUUCAAUGAAUCUUUAGAAGGUAGUAUCUUGUUGAGCGGGUUUUCGUGUGUUCAAUUGUUGAUCCGGGUCUUUGUCAGGAUCAAUCUAGAGGUAUUGUUUGGAAGAUCUUUGGUCAGGGUUAACAGGUUAGUUCGCGAGUGAAGUCAGGGUUUGGUGGUUUAUCAUCUAUUAUGGUAUGAUCGACGGUUACCUAUGGAAGAACUUUUGGGUUCCAACUUCCAACACUACCGUUGCUUGGAGAGUAGCGGUAGCAAAAAGAUGGUGGUGACGGUUACAUGAGUUGUUUGGUCAUUGGAAAUGUCAAGGGAUUUUUAUUUUCGCGUAGGUUAUAGAUGGUUAGAGAUCAGUGAUUCCUUGCGAAUGGAAGUUGAGGUGAAGAUUCGUCAGUCAUGGUAAGGGUUAUGGAUUUUAGUCGCCAGCAUAAGAAUUCAAGGAAUUGGUUUGGUAUGAUGGGAGGUGAUUUGGAUUAUCAGACUGGUUAAAAUUUCAGGAGUAUUCUUUAGCACUUCAGGAUUUGGUCGAUCACUGAAUUUGGCUAAAUGGAACGCUAGUAUUGAUUAAUACAUAUCAUAGGGGGUUCAUGCUUUAUAUGGUUUAAUGGGAUGGGAAUCCAUCGGACUUAUGGGAUGAAAGAGCUUCGCCAAAUCCAAGUGGUGGAGAAUCAAUCAGAAUUUUUGGGAGUUAGAUUCAGUGUGGAACUAGGGCAAGUUUCACAUCCUGGCCAGGAGGAGAGACGACCCAAGUGUUGGUUUAGAUUGAGGUUGUGUAAGUGGGAGUUCAGGAAACUUCCAACCAUUGGUCGGUGUCUCCUUUAUUAUGCAUAGCAAGAUUGUAGAUGAGUCUAGGCUGAGGGCUUUGGAAUUCGAAGUAUGACCCGAACACAUGAUUGGAUGUAGUCAGAUGUAGGUUGCUACUCAAGAUUUGUGGGGUUGUGAUGGUUAAGGUGUGGUAAGGCCAUGGAUAGUAACCAUGGUUGGUUAGAAGUGUUGUAAGACUGCGAUGGGAUCAUAACAUUCACCAGUUCGAUGUAGACUAUCAUUAGAGCUGGUCAUGAGCGUAAAAGGGGAAUCAUUUUGUGCCUUGGGCAUGCCGAUCAGGAUUGUCAAGGAGUAUUUCUCUGUUUUAGGUUGAGGAGCAUUGGGGUCUGGGGCAGAUUCGGGCUUGUGUAGCUCUAGAUGGGUGAGAUUCGUGGGUGAGGCCGCUUCAUGGUAUAGUUUGGGUGGGACCCGUGGACGAGGCCCGUGUUAUUAUGGCAAUGUAGGUGGGAAGUGGUAGAGACCGUUGGGUUAAGGUAUUGGAUCUUGGGUUUUAGGAUUGAGGGUUUGGUUAGUAAGUGGUGUAGAGGGAUGUUUGGACUGGGUAGCCUUGUUAUUUGGACUCUUAAGAACCAGGUGGAUGGGCAGAUACGAGACUAGCAGUCUUAGAGAUGUUGGGUUAUAAGUUGUGAGGGGUUGCUAUGAAUCAGAAAGUUUUAGGUGAAAUGCAAGUGUAAAUCCUUUGAUGUCGGGUUAUAAGUUGGGUACCGAGAUGGUUCUUGGUGGGAACUUGCAUGUGUUUAUGUGCAAGGCCUUCUCUUCUGUAGGAUAUGAGUUAAGGAAUAUGAAUGGAUGAGUUCAGGGUUAAGGGAUGGUUUUAAUUUUGUUGGAAGUUUAGGCUCUUGUGUUUUGGGUUAGUUAUAUUUGUGUGGGGGUUAGGCAAGUAUGGGGUUUUAGAUUUCAGAUGUAUUUCAUUAUAUUAUUGGUCAUGGAUUUCUUCAAAUGGAUUAGAAUAGGGUGGGUCGAUUCAUAAGGUUGUGGGAAGACCAUGUAACCAAGAAUUGGUAGGUCGUUGGAGGCCCGUUAUGAUAUAAGACUACAAUUGGUCUAGUAGCAUUCACUUUUAAAAUUAGACUUGGUGGCGUCAUGUUUGUCGGGUUGUUAUGAUCGGUCGGGGCCAUAAGUGGCAAGAUAGCUUGGGAAAUUAUUGCCAUAUGAGGCUUUCAUUCAGAAGUCGCGUGGGGCAACUGUGUGUUUCCUUUGACUCAGCAACCGAGCAGGAAACUGGUGUUUUAGUUAGUGGCAAACAAGUUGGGACUAGGGAGGUCUCGACUGCUUUUGGAAAGUAGCUAGGGGGCAUCGAGAUAAGUUAAGGCGAGAUUGGUGAUUUGGGACACGUGUGUCGAGUCUCUUGGUAUUCGGAAAAUAUGGUAAGACAUUUAUAGCUUGGAUUGGAUAAUCUAUAGGUAAAUGAUUUGACCUUGUUGUGCAGCUCUCAUCCGAGUCUAACCGUUGCAGGGAUGAGUCCUCUACUCGAAGGAUUAUUUGAGUCCUUUGUCAAGUAUAAGUGUUAUGCAACAAUAAUGUUCAGGGAUUCCGUUUCCAUUAGAAGCAUCAAGUCAAUCAAGGGUUGGAAGCAUUCUGAUUAAGUAUGGACUCCAAUGAGAAUUUGGCCUGGUAGUGGUUCAGUAUGGGCGGUCUGUCGGGGAGUCAGACCAAUUUGAGAUUUCAGGUUUUAGGUAAAGUAGGGUUGGUUUUCUGCAUGGGAUUAUGGAUUUGUCAUCUUCGAAUUUGGAGAGUCUGCUAAGGUUGGGUUCGGUAGCCUUGGGAAGGCCGUUGUAUGCUCGAGGUUGUGGUUGCGUUCUUCAGGCAUCCUGGCAUGCAUGGGAUGGUAAGGAAUGAUUUCGAGGACGAAAUCUAAUUUAAGUAAGGGAGAGUUGUAACACCCAGAAUCUUGAGGAAUAAUUGUUGACAAUAAAUCCCAUUAUAGGGUUGGACAUGACGUGUUGGAGGAACCAACACGACGUGUCUAGAUUUGAGGAAUCAUGACUUUCAUUAAGGCCAACAUGACAUGUUUAUGCCAUUACACGGCGUGUUGGCGGUUGGUGGAGAAAACCCUAAUUUUUAGGGUGUUGCACCCUAUAUAAAACCUUAAGUCCUCAUAGUUGGCCUCCUUACCAGCCUCUAUUGCCACUAAAACCCUAAAAUCAAUCUUUAAGUCUCUUUGUGGUGUUCUUGAGCUAGUAAGAAGUUAUUGGUGCUCAUUUAUGGUCUUUGUGAAGGAAUAAGAGAUCUUGAAGUUGCUUUGCUUGGGGAAAAGGCUUUGGAUCCAGAAUCAUCAUAUUGUGGGGAAACUUUCUGAGGUAUCAAGUUUGCAUAUUGUCUUGUAUAUGUUUAGAUCUCUUCAUAGCUAGUUUUGUGUGCUUUUGGUCCCUUUUGUGUUAAUGGAUGAGCUAGGUCGUCUAAGGGCUUGUUCUUUCAGAUCUGAGUAUGUUUUGGUAUCCUUGAGCAUAAAGGUGCAAGCUUUAUGAGAGUUUUGGUGUCAUGCAUGCAUUAAGUCAAUUAUUAAGUCAUUUUUAUGCUUAAGAUCUUCAUUUAGACAUGCAUGAACGUAAACUUGGAAACUUUACAUGGUUUUCCAGCUCAAGGAAGUGAGAUCUAUGUUUUGGGUUUAUAUCAUUAUAGAUUAAGUGCUUGUUCGUUAUGCUCUUGCAUCAUUAAGCAUUAUGGAUUUAGUUUGAACCUUUUUGGGUAGUCCCAAUGGAUCAAGUUGGAAACUUUAUCCUUCUAGACCAUGUUAUGGACUAGAUCUGAGCUUUGGAGCUCUUGGAAUCGAAGAAAAACAACUUAUUGUAGUAGGCUGGUGAAUCUCAGGCAGACACGACGUGUCCAAGGGGGCAACACAGCAUGUUUGGGCAACAUGGACUGUGGACUUUAACUUUGACCAGAAGUUUGAUCAGGGUUGACCUUGGGAUGUUUUGGACCAUGUUUGUGCCUUUUGGAUUGUUGAAUUGGGCCUUGGCUUUGGGGCCAAGUUAUAAAGAGGGUAAAAAGGUCUUUUACCCUAGUUUGGACACUUAGUGUGAGUCAGAUCCGAUUAUUUAUGGAUGAUUAGCUUGUGAUAGAUAACACAUUGAUUCUUACGGGCCAGCAGCCAGACAUUCUUUCUGUGAAAUUCGGCAGUGCGAGGUGAGUCUCCUUACUAUGCUUAGCGGGUCGAAGGCACAAAUGUUGGCCCAUUGUUUAUUAUGUUAGGAUGCUAGAUGUCUGUGUGACUCUUGCAUGUGUAUGUAUUGGUAUGUAUGCCGAGCGGGGCUCGAUGCCGGGCAAAACCCGAUGGUUGUAUUGUAUGUUAUUAUCUUUGUGAUUAUUGCCUGUGUUGGUAGGAUUAUGUGUUUGUAUGUUGGCGGGGCCCGUUAUAUGAGUGUGGACGGGGCCCAUUAUGUGAGUGUGGGCGGAGCUCGUAUCUCAGUGUGCGGGGCCCGAUAUGUGAGUGUAGGCGGGGCCCGUAUCUCAAUGGGCAGGGCCCGAUAUGUGAGUCUGGGCGGGGCAUGUAUCUCAGUGGGCGGGGCCCAAUAUGCGAAUGUGGGCAGGGCCCGUAUCU
Molecule: long non-coding RNA, 7247 nt
Filed under: Lactuca sativa (garden lettuce)
Lineage: Eukaryota; Viridiplantae; Streptophyta; Magnoliopsida; Asterales; Asteraceae
Description: long non-coding RNA (LSAT_LNC009714)
Source: RNAcentral